RNAcentral lists this small nuclear RNA (18 nucleotides) under Arabidopsis thaliana (thale cress). RNAcentral describes it as "snRNA_10131". The record is from RNAcentral. Lineage: Eukaryota; Viridiplantae; Streptophyta; Magnoliopsida; Brassicales; Brassicaceae.
AUUAUGCACCCACACUGA